Molecule: ribosomal RNA, 253 nt
Filed under: uncultured bacterium
Lineage: Bacteria
Description: partial 16S ribosomal RNA
Rfam family: Bacterial small subunit ribosomal RNA
Source: RNAcentral
UACGGAGGGUGCAAGCGUUGUCCGGAAUCACUGGGCGUAAAGGGCGCGUAGGCGGCUCAUGAAGGCUGUGGUGAAAGUCCGGGGCUCAACCUCGGAUCGGCCGUGGCGACUCGUGGGCUGGAGCACUGUAGAGGCAGGUGGAAUUCCGGGUGUAGCGGUGGAAUGCGUAGAGAUCCGGAAGAACACCAGUGGUGAAGGCGGCCUGCUGGGCAGUGGCUGACGCUGAGGCGCGACAGCGUGGGGAGCAAACAGG